RNAcentral lists this ribosomal RNA (789 nucleotides) under uncultured archaeon. Its description in RNAcentral is "bacterial SSU rRNA". It matches the Rfam family "Archaeal small subunit ribosomal RNA", at positions 85 to 879 of the family's 1478-position model. The record is from RNAcentral.
ACUGCUCAGUAACACGUGGACAACCUACCCUAUGGAGGGGGAUAACCCCGGGAAACUGGGGAUAAUACCCCAUAGACUAUGGAAGCUGGAAUGCUCUGUAGUUGAAAGGUCCGCCGCCAUAGGAUGGGUCUGCGGCCGAUUAGGUUGUUGUUGGGGUAACGGCCCAACAAGCCUGUAAUCGGUACGGGUUGUGGGAGCAAGAGCCCGGAGAUGGAUUCUGAGACACGAAUCCAGGCCCUACGGGGCGCAGCAGGCGCGAAAACUUUACAAUGCGGGAAACCGUGAUAAGGGAACUCCGAGUGCCCGUAAAAUCGGGCUGUCCAUCUGUUUAAAUAACAGGUGAAGAAAGGGCCGGGCAAGACCGGUGCCAGCCGCCGCGGUAAUACCGGCGGCUCGAGUGGUGGCCACUAUUACUGGGCUUAAAGCGUUCGUAGCUGGUCUGUUAAGCCUCUGGGGAAAUCUACUGGCUUAACCAAUAGACGUUUCAGGGAUACUGGCAGACUAGGGACCGGGAGAGGUGAGAGGUACUCCAGGGGUAGGAGUGAAAUCCUGUAAUCCUUGGGGGACCACCUGUGGCGAAGGCGUCUCACCAGAACGGCUCCGACAGUGAGGGACGAAAGCUGGGGGAGCAAACCGGAUUAGAUACCCGGGUAGUCCCAGCCGUAAACGAUGUGCGUUAGGUGUAUCGAUGACCACGAGUCAUCGAGGUGCCGAAGAGAAAUCGUGAAACGUACCGCCUGGGAAGUACGGUCGCAAGGCUGAAACUUAAAGGAAUUGGCGGGGGAGCAC